Molecule: long non-coding RNA, 1097 nt
Organism: Chenopodium quinoa (quinoa)
Lineage: Eukaryota; Viridiplantae; Streptophyta; Magnoliopsida; Caryophyllales; Amaranthaceae
Exons: 6
Source: RefSeq, a predicted model, not a curated record
AAGCUCUAGAAAGUUUUUAAUUAAGUUUGCAUCAGAUUUGCAGUAGUACGUGAGUACGUCAUAUACUCUUAUGCAUCAUCUGCCAAGACAAUUCAAAGGCUUGAGACAAUGCUUCAUACUCCCUACGUUUGUCCUACAAUUUUUUUUUUUCUUUCCAUUCUUUUCUAUAUAUAUCAUACUACUCUUUUCCAUUCUUUCCGUUCAUAUACUCUUCUCAUAUCUGAUCUCAUCAUCUUUUUCUUUUGUUCGUCUGCUUUUCUUUUUUCUGUGUGUUUUGUUUCUUCUUUUGAGUUGCUGCCUCUUUUUCACCAAAAAAAAAAAUCAUUACUUUUAUCUCGUAAAGGCGUAAAGCUAGAAUAAAAAGAGAUAAGUUAUAGAAUUGACUCAUUAAGCCAUGAGUAAAUCUAAGAUUCAUAUGUAGUGAAGCACAAGUUUAUUAGCUAUUCAAGUGGGAAGUUUGAGACAUUACAUCCAUUAUACUUGCUAUAUUGCUCGAUCAACAAAGAAGUACCUCGUGAUGUUUGUACUACAAAACAUUAUGAAGAAGAUACAUGGUCGUGCUCCACGGGGUCCUACAUGGAAAUCACCUAUGUGCCCAAAACAAGAUAAUGGAGUUGAUUGUGGAUUAUACGUGAUGAGAUUCAUGCUUGACAUAGCGACUCAUUGUUCCAACACCAUACAUCUUGAUGAGUUUUUCAAGGUGCAAAAGGGAGAUCCUUUAACAAGCAAGGAGCUUAAUGAAGUUCGAGACAUGUUGGCAUCUUUCAUCACCUUCAAUUUGUAAAUGUGGCAUCAUUUUGAAUUUAUACUUUGUUAAUUAUUAACGUUUAAACUACAAUAUUGACUUGUUAUUAGUAUUGUUUGUAUUUAUUUAUAUGUCACACUUUAUUUAAUUUGUUGUAUUGCAUUUGGUUUUUAAUUAUAAAAGUAGUCUAAAUAUAUAUUUUUAAUUCUUGUUAUGAUUAUUAAUAAUAAUUAUAUUAUGGCAGAAUUUAUAGCAAUAAUAUGGCAGAACAUUAUAGCAGGAUCAGUUGCAGGAAUAAUUGCAGGGAAAAAAAAAAAAAAAAUUAGAUCCUUUUAUUGCCACCGGUUUACCA